UGGGGAAUAUUGCACAAUGGGCGCAAGCCUGAUGCAGCAACGCCGCGUGAGGGAUGACGGCCUUCGGGUUGUAAACCUCUUUUAGUAGGGAAGAAGCGAAAGUGACGGUACCUGCAGAAAAAGCACCGGCUAACUACGUGCCAGCAGCCGCGGUAAUACGUAGGGUGCGAGCGUUGUCCGGAAUUAUUGGGCGUAAAGAGCUCGUAGGCGGUCUGUCACGUCUGCUGUGAAAACCCGAGGCUCAACCUCGGGCCUGCAGUGGGUACGGGCAGACUAGAGUGCGGUAGGGGAGAAUGGAAUUCCUGGUGUAGCGGUGGAAUGCGCAGAUAUCAGGAGGAACACCGAUGGCGAAGGCAGUUCUCUGGGCCGUAACUGACGCUGAGGAGCGAAAGCGUGGGGAGCGAACAGGAUUAGAUACCCUGGUAGUCCACGCCGUAAACGUUGGGCGCUAGAUGUGGGGACCAUUCCACGGUUUCCGUGUCGCAGCUAACGCAUUAAGCGCCCCGCCUGGGGAGUACGGCCGCAAGGCU
This 530-nucleotide ribosomal RNA is filed under the name uncultured bacterium. Its description in RNAcentral is "partial 16S ribosomal RNA". It matches the Rfam family "Bacterial small subunit ribosomal RNA", at positions 355 to 895 of the family's 1533-position model. The record is from RNAcentral.